RNAcentral lists this ribosomal RNA (490 nucleotides) under uncultured bacterium. RNAcentral describes it as "partial 16S ribosomal RNA". It matches the Rfam family "Bacterial small subunit ribosomal RNA", at positions 30 to 507 of the family's 1533-position model. The record is from RNAcentral.
AUUGAACACUGGCGGCAGGCCUAACACAUGCCAGUCGAACGGUAACAGGAAGAAGCUUGCUUCUUUGCUGACGAGUGGCGGACGGGUGAGUAAUGUCUGGGAAACUGCCUGAUGGAGGGGGAUAACUACUGGAAACGGUAGCUAAUACCGCAUAAUGUCGCAAGACCAAAGAGGGGGACCUUCGGGCCUCUUGCCAUCGGAUGUGCCCAGAUGGGAUUAGCUAGUAGGUGGGGUAAUGGCUCACCUAGGCGACGAUCCCUAGCUGGUCUGAGAGGAUGACCAGCCACACUGGAACUGAGACACGGUCCAGACUCCUACGGGAGGCAGCAGUGGGGAAUAUUGCACAAUGGGCGCAAGCCUGAUGCAGCUAUGCCGCGUGUAUGAAGAAGGCCUUCGGGUUGUAAAGUACUUUCAGCGGGGAGGAAGGGAGUAAAGUUAAUACCUUUGCUCAUUGACGUUACCCGCAGAAGAAGCACCGGCUAACUCCGUG